This 429-nucleotide ribosomal RNA is filed under the name bacterium. Its description in RNAcentral is "partial 16S ribosomal RNA". It matches the Rfam family "Bacterial small subunit ribosomal RNA", at positions 355 to 776 of the family's 1533-position model. The record is from RNAcentral.
UAGGGAAUCUUCCACAAUGGACGCAAGUCUGAUGGAGCAACGCCGCGUGAGUGAAGAAGGUUUUCGGAUCGUAAAGCUCUGUUGUUGGUGAAGAAGGAUAGAGGCAGUAACUGGUCUUUAUUUGACGGUAAUCAACCAGAAAGUCACGGCUAACUACGUGCCAGCAGCCGCGGUAAUACGUAGGUGGCAAGCGUUGUCCGGAUUUAUUGGGCGUAAAGCGAGCGCAGGCGGAAUGAUAAGUCUGAUGUGAAAGCCCACGGCUCAACCGUGGAACUGCAUCGGAAAAUGUCAUUCUUGAGUGCAGAAGAGGAGAGUGGAAUUCCAUGUGUAGCGGUGGAAUGCGUAGAUAUAUGGAAGAACACCAGUGGCGAAGGAGGCUCUCUGGUCUGCAACUGACGCUGAGGCUCGAAAGCAUGGGUAGCGAACAGG